CCCUUAGACGUUCUGGGCCGCACGCGCGCUACACUGACGAAGGCAACGAGCUUUCCUUUACCGAAAGGUACGGGUAAUCUUUUGAAACUUCGUCGUGCUGGGGAUAGAUCCUUGCAAUUUUUGAUCUUAAACGAGGAAUGCCUAGUAAGCGCAAGUCAUCAACUUGCGUUGAUUACGUCCCUGCCCUUUGUACACACCGCCCGUCGCUACUACCGAUUGAAUGGUCUAGUGAGGCCUUCGGAUCCGCGACUCGUUUGUGGAGAAGUUGGACAAACUCAGUCAUUUAGAGGAAGUAAAAGUCGUAACA
RNAcentral lists this ribosomal RNA (307 nucleotides) under uncultured eukaryote. RNAcentral describes it as "partial 18S ribosomal RNA". It matches the Rfam family "Eukaryotic small subunit ribosomal RNA", at positions 1470 to 1796 of the family's 1831-position model. The record is from RNAcentral.